CAGUCGCCGCGGUAAUACGGAGGGAGCUAGCGUUGUUCGGAAUUACUGGGCGUAAAGCGCACGUAGGCGGUUAUUCAAGUCAGAGGUGAAAGCCCGGGGCUCAACCCCGGAACUGCCUUUGAAACUAGAUGACUGGAAUCUUGGAGAGGUCAGUGGAAUUCCGAGUGUAGAGGUGAAAUUCGUAGAUAUUCGGAAGAACACCAGUGGCGAAGGCGACUGACUGGACAAGUAUUGACGCUGAGGUGCGAAAGCGUGGGGAGCAAACAGGAUUAGAUACCCCUGAGUCCCUGUCUCUUAUACA
RNAcentral lists this ribosomal RNA (301 nucleotides) under uncultured bacterium. RNAcentral's name for it is "partial 16S ribosomal RNA". It matches the Rfam family "Bacterial small subunit ribosomal RNA", at positions 509 to 808 of the family's 1533-position model. The record is from RNAcentral.